UUGUCUGCUGGCUCGCAAGGGCAUGUGCACGCCUGUCUCAUCCACUCUCAACUUCUGUGCACUUUUCAUAGGCCGGCUUGUGGGUGCGUUCGCGCACUUGUAGGUGUCGGGCUUAUGCUUUACUACAAACGAUUCAGUUUUAGAAUGUCAUACUUUGCUAUAACGCAAUUAUAUACAACUUUCAGCAACGGAUCUCUUGGCUCUCGCAUCGAUGAAGAACGCAGCGAAAUGCGAUAAGUAAUGUGAAUUGCAGAAUUCAGUGAAUCAUCGAAUCUUUGAACGCACCUUGCGCUCCUUGGUAUUCCGAGGAGCAUGCCUGUUUGAGUCUCAUGGAAUUCUCAACCUUCAGCUUUAUUGAUGAAGGCUUGGACUUGGAGGUCGUGCCGGCUCUCGUAGUCGGCUCCUCUGAAAUGCAUUAGUGCGAACGUUACCAGCCGCUUCAGCGUGAUAAUUAUCUGCGUUGCUGUGGAGGGUAUUCUAGUGUUCACGCUUCUAACCGUCUUCGGACAAAUUUCUGAACUCUGAGCUCAAAUCAGGUAGGACUACCCGCUGAACUUAAGCA
Molecule: ribosomal RNA, 562 nt
Filed under: Botryosphaeria sp. XS39
Lineage: Eukaryota; Fungi; Ascomycota; Dothideomycetes; Botryosphaeriales; Botryosphaeriaceae
Description: eukaryotic LSU rRNA
Rfam family: 5.8S ribosomal RNA (bases 177-330)
Source: RNAcentral